CCUACGGGGGGCAGCAGUGAGGAAUAUUGGUCAAUGGACGAGAGUCUGAACCAGCCAAGUAGCGUGAAGGAUGACUGCCCUAUGGGUUGUAAACUUCUUUUAUAUGGGAAUAAAACGUUCCACGUGUGGGAUUUUGUAUGUACCAUAUGAAUAAGGAUCGGCUAACUCCGUGCCAGCAGCCGCGGUAAUACGGAGGAUCCGAGCGUUAUCCGGAUUUAUUGGGUUUAAAGGGAGCGUGGGUGGAUUGUUAAGUCAGUUGUGAAAGUUUGCGGCUCAACCGUAAAAUUGCAGUUGAAACUGGCAGUCUUGAGUACAGUAGAGGUGGGCGGAAUGCGUGGUGUAGCGGUGAAAUGCUUAGAUAUCACGAAGAACUCCGAUUGCGAAGGCAGUUCACUGGACUGCAACUGACACUGAGGCUCGAAAGUGUGGGUAUCAAACAGGAUUAGAUACCCGGGUAGUC
This 460-nucleotide ribosomal RNA is filed under the name uncultured bacterium. RNAcentral's name for it is "partial 16S ribosomal RNA". It matches the Rfam family "Bacterial small subunit ribosomal RNA", at positions 338 to 795 of the family's 1533-position model. The record is from RNAcentral.